UACGUAGGGAGCAAGCGUUGUCCGGAAUCAUUGGGCGUAAAGCGCGCGUAGGCGGCCUUGUAAGUCCGUUGUGAAAGUCAAAGGCUCAACCUUUGAAAGCCGAUGGAUACUGCAGGGCUAGAGUCCGGAAGAGGCGAGUGGAAUUCCUGGUGUAGCGGUGGAAUGCGCAGAUAUCAGGAGGAACACCAAUAGCGAAGGCAGCUCGCUGGGACGGUACUGACGCUAAGGCGCGAAAGCGUGGGGAGCGAACGGG
This 253-nucleotide ribosomal RNA is filed under the name uncultured bacterium. RNAcentral's name for it is "partial 16S ribosomal RNA". It matches the Rfam family "Bacterial small subunit ribosomal RNA", at positions 524 to 776 of the family's 1533-position model. The record is from RNAcentral.